CGAAUCGGAGCAGACGGGGAAGUUGGUUUUAUCAAGGAAAACACCUAAAGUAAGUGUUUUACCUCAUUUACAUUAUGUAUUAUAUAGGAUAAUAUUACUUUAUGAAGAUAUUUGUAUGCUGUAUGCGCCUAAACGAGCCUAAACGUUUCUCACAGAUUUGAAUUGUUAUACAGCGCAGAUGCAGAGGUUGCUUUUAACAGGAAAACGUAAGAAAGAGAUAUUCUUUCACUCGGGAGAUGAUGUGCUUGAAGAGUAUGAAGUCACCAUUACAUUAAGUGGGAUGAGAAGAGCUUUGUUAGGACACAUACCAGAGACAAGGGAGGAGUCCAACCUCAAUGCAGAGAGAGAUCAGUACGCACUUGGAAUUAUGACUUCGUUUCUGUUGUUAAAAGACUAAUUUUCCAGUCACCGUAGCCACCCAGAUCCAGACUGAAUCCAGA
Molecule: long non-coding RNA, 440 nt
Organism: Labeo rohita (rohu)
Lineage: Eukaryota; Metazoa; Chordata; Actinopteri; Cypriniformes; Cyprinidae
Exons: 4
Source: RefSeq, a predicted model, not a curated record